AGAAUCCUUAAGGGGAAGUCAUUCAUGCACUCAUCCGUUCAACGAAUGCUUAUUACAUACCUACUAUGUGUCUGGUGCUAUUCCAGGCACCAGGGGCACAGCCCUUUUUGCCCUCAUGGAGCUCACAUCUAAUGGGAGAGGCAACCAAUAAGUAAAUGUAUAGAAUGCCGGACAGCUAUAUGUGCUAUGGAGAACAUAAGGCAGGGAAGGGUAUUGAGAGUGGGGGGAAGGGCGAUAUUUACUCAAAGACAGCUGGACGAAGCCCAGCUGAUAAGGUGUGGGACGCAGUGAGGGAUCCAGCUGUGUAGAUGUUUGGGGAGGAGGCUUCCGCAGACCGAACAAGCAGCAGGAGGCCAGUGCUUGUGAGAGAGUCGAGUGAGCCGGAAGGGGCCACGGGAAGGAUAGAGCCGCUAUUUAUGGAGAAGCAGGUUUGAAGGAUGGACGUUUUGGCUGUGAAGAUCUAAACCCAAGUCCCUCAAGCCAGUUAGUUUAAUUCAGCUGGAGUUAAGGUUUCAGGUCCCGAUCUGCUGCUUCUUCGACUCUGACCGUGUCUGGAGGGACAGUGGCCCAGCUUCCGCCCCGCAGGAAGGCUGUCCUGCUGUUCCUCCUGCCUUUCCACCCAAAGCCUUCUCCAGCUCCCCCAAAUCCAGAGAGAAGAUGACUUACCUGCCUGCUCGCCCGCCUUCACCCCUCACCCAGCACACACCUGCCUCAUGCCAUCACUUCUAUUUAUGUCUUCUCUCUCCAGGGCUUGAUCCGGUCACUUCACACAUGAGGGACUGCAGGGGGCUGUGCUGCAUUCAUCCUGCAGAGACCUCGACUUCACCCCAACAUCAGCACCUGCCCAUUUCUCAAGGGGGAGACUUUUCGAUGAAAGUCUUCGUGUAUUUAACAUCAAGUCCACAUUAAUGGCUACCACACAACAGGUGCUUGGGACAGUGGAUGUCUGGGUGUGCCGCCGAAGCUCUGCCCACGGGAGGAUCCUCCCUCACUGCUGUUCCUCGGGAAGACCCAGAGAGGGUUGCAGUGCAGCACGAGUCUGUUCCCAGUGUGCGUCCAGCAAGCCAACCCGUUUGUGAACCAAGCUCUCCUUUUUUCCCCCCUCUUCCUUCAGAUGAUCAUAAAGUGCCCCCCCCCACUCCCAUGUAUCCACCAAACAUGGAUAACUAGUGGAGAGGUACCUGUGUAGCGGGAGACAUGGGGGUCUGGGCCACGUGCUGUGUAGCUUACUCGUACGUCUUACUUGUGCCCUCUGUCUUUGCUCAAGUUCAACUGAUGAAUCUGACAGAAUCGACCUCAUGAUAGGAAGUUCUGGCCGCAUGAACACUGAUGGCCGUGGUCAGGUGUUCUGUUUAUACCAGGGUUCAGUGGCAUUCCAGAAGCUGUUCUGCAAAAAGUUUAUAAUGAUCUUAUGCAAAUAGAAUAGACCUGCUCCAGACCCCAUGUGUCUACAUAAUUCUCCUAUUUGGGCUUGCCAUAAACUCCACAUAAUUUCUUCACGGAUGCCUCUAAUGCCACAGUUGUAUGGCCCUUAUCUGCGAGGUGGUAGGCCAGCUUGCACCAUGGCCUGGAGCUGCUGAAGAACUCUUUUCAACUCUGGACUCUGCUCAAAGUUGGCAUCCCUUUGUGCCAUCAUUUACAUGAGUUGAAGCAGCAUUGCCAAGUAUGGAAAGUUGUCUCCAGAACCCAUAGAGGCCCACAAGGCAUUGUACUUUUUUCUUUGAGUUGGGAGGUGCAGGAUGAAAUCAUUUGUCCUUCCUUAUGGAUGCCCUAGAUCACUGGACCCCUAAACAUUUCACUGAUGUGGCAGGCCCUAGAAUCUUCUUAGGGAUUAUUUUCUACCCUCUAGAGUAAACAUGUCUUAGCAAAGCCUCCAAAAUACUUGCCACUUCUUGCCCCUCCAGUCUGAUUAAUAUAAUGUCAUCAAUGUAGUGUAUCAAUGUGAUGCUAUUCAGGAUGUCCAGACAGUCAGGUCUCUUUGGACUAUAUUAUAUCAGAGGGCAGGAGAGAGAACACAGGUGGAGGGUAGCGGGAAUAAGGCCAUAGUAUGUACAUUUAUCCAUUUAAAGUGAAUGUAAAUCUUUUCUGCUUCUCCUUGACAGGGAUGGAAAAGAAAGUAUUCACUAGAUCAAUGGCUGUAAACCAUGUACCUGAGGCUGGGUUAAUUACCUUUAGCAAAGAUACUAUAUCUGGCACAGCAGUUGCAACGGGGCUACGAUUUGUUGAGUUUGCAGUGGUCCUUUUUUUUUUUCUUUU
Delphinapterus leucas (beluga whale) is the source of this 2256-nucleotide non-coding RNA. The record is from RefSeq and is a predicted model, not a curated record. NCBI's taxonomy places the organism in Eukaryota, Metazoa, Chordata, Mammalia, Artiodactyla, Monodontidae.